This 377-nucleotide ribosomal RNA is filed under the name uncultured bacterium. RNAcentral's name for it is "bacterial SSU rRNA". It matches the Rfam family "Bacterial small subunit ribosomal RNA", at positions 335 to 699 of the family's 1533-position model. The record is from RNAcentral.
ACUCCUACGGGAGGCAGCAGUGGGGAAUAUUGCACAAUGGGGGGAAACCCUGAUGCAGCCAUGCCGCGUGUGUGAAGAAGGCCUUCGGGUUGUAAAGCACUUUCAGUAGGGAGGAAGGUAGUGUAGUUAACACCUGCACUAUUUGACGUUACCUACAGAAGAAGCACCGGCUAACUCCGUGCCAGCAGCCGCGGUAAUACGGAGGGUGCGAGCGUUAAUCGGAAUUACUGGGCGUAAAGCGCAUGCAGGCGGCCUGUUAAAGUCAGAUGUGAAAGCCCGGGGCUUAACCUCGGAAAUUGCAUUUGAAAACUGGCAAGGCUAGAGUCUUGUAGAGGGGGGUAGAAUUUCAGGUGUAGCGGUGAAAUGCGUAGAGAUCU